GCGCCUAUAGCUCAGUUGGAUAGAGCACUGGUUUCCGGUACCAGGUGCAGGGGUUCGAAUCCUCUUAGGCGCG
Molecule: transfer RNA, 73 nt
Filed under: Candidatus Avamphibacillus intestinigallinarum
Lineage: Bacteria; Bacillati; Bacillota; Bacilli; Caryophanales
Description: tRNA-Arg
Rfam family: tRNA
About the family: Transfer RNA (tRNA) molecules are approximately 80 nucleotides in length.
Source: RNAcentral